RNAcentral lists this ribosomal RNA (775 nucleotides) under uncultured Neocallimastigales. RNAcentral describes it as "partial large subunit ribosomal RNA". It matches the Rfam family "Eukaryotic large subunit ribosomal RNA", at positions 24 to 649 of the family's 3401-position model. Lineage: Eukaryota; Fungi; Neocallimastigomycota; Neocallimastigomycetes; Neocallimastigales. The record is from RNAcentral.
UACGACUACAUAUCAGGCAUAUCAAUAAGCGGAGGAAAAGAAACUAACGAGGAUUCCCCUAGUAACGGCGAGUGAAGCGGGAAGAGCUCAAAUUUGAAAUCUUAAAGGGUUUCCCUUUACGAAUUGUAGUUUAAAGAAGUGUUUUCUGUUGGAGUUUCGGUAAAAGUUCUUUGGAAUAGGACAUCAUAGAGGGUGAGAAUCCCGUAUUUGACCGUUACUUUCCAGCUGUGUGAUACACUUUCAAAGAGUCGGAUUGUUUGGGAAUGCAGUCCAAGAUGGGUAGUAAAUUUCAUCUAAAGCUAAAUAUUGGCGAGAGACCGAUAGCGAACAAGUACCGUGAGGGAAAGAUGAAAAGAACUUUGAAAAGAGAGUUAAACAGUACGUGAAAUUGUCAAAAGGGAAGCGUUUGACACCAGUGUUGUUUAGUUGAAAAUCAAUUCAAUAGUUUUUGAUUCUAAGUAGUAUUGACUUCAUCAGCUUGCUGCUUUCUUCUCAGAAAUUAUUGAAUGCACUUUUCAGUUAACAAGUCAACAUCAAUCUCUUUUGUUGUAAAAGGGUAAGAGGAAGGUGGCUUGCGCUUCGGCUCAAGUGUUUAUAGCCUUUUAUCUCUGCAAUCGGAGAGAUUGAGGUCUGCAGCGUAGAUCCUUCGGGGUUAGAUACAUUGGCGCUAAGCUAUAGCCUUGUAUAGACAACUUGUUGACUAUGCUCAGUCAUGUAGCUUACUCGCUGAUGCUAUUUUACCUACGCUUAGGAUGUUGAGUAGCGACAUACGCAC